Molecule: unclassified non-coding RNA, 387 nt
Filed under: soil metagenome
Description: partial contains 5.8S ribosomal RNA, internal transcribed spacer 2, and large subunit ribosomal RNA
Rfam family: 5.8S ribosomal RNA (bases 1-120)
Source: RNAcentral
GAUGAAGAACGUAGCGAAAUGCGAUAAGUAAUGUGAAUUGCAGAAUUCAGUGAAUCAUCGAAUCUUUGAACGCACAUUGCGCCCAUUAGUAUUCUAGUGGGCAUGCCUGUUCGAGCGUCAUUAAUUCCACUUAAGCCCUGCUUAGUGUUGGGAAUCUACUCUAGUGGUGCUACCCUGGAGCUACCCCUGAAAGGGGGCUGGCCCGGUAGCUACCCUGUAGUUCCUCAAAGAUAGUGCGCGGAGUUGCGUGGUCCUCUGAGCUUAGUAACUAUACACCUAGCUUUUGAGUGUCCCGCGGCGCCUGCCGUUUAAACCCCAUCUUUUAAUGGUUGACCUCGGAUCAGGUAGGAAUUCCCGCUGAACUUAAGCAUAUCAAUAAGCGGAGGA